AGUUAUCUCAGUGGCCGAACGCACUCAGUUUGCCUGCUACCUUGGCACAACAUCCAAAAAAGGUAUAAACAUCGCAAGUUGUCAUAUGAGGAGGGUUUUAGUACGUAGGCGCUGUAGAACUUCGGUUCUGAUAGAACAGUGAAUCGUGCAUGCUAUGAACUCUAAUAAGAGAUUAGUAGUAUCUUUCGAAGAUUUCCCUUCCUUAGCGAAU
Non-coding RNA from Drosophila ficusphila, 211 nucleotides. The record is from Rfam. Lineage: Eukaryota; Metazoa; Arthropoda; Insecta; Diptera; Drosophilidae.